UACGUAGGUGGCAAGCGUUGUCCGGAAUUAUUGGGCGUAAAGUGCGCGCAGGCGGCCUCUUAAGUCUGAUGUGAAAGCCCCCGGCUCAACCGGGGGAGGGCCAUUGGAAACUGGGAGGCUUGAGUAUAGGAGAGAAGAGUGGAAUUCCACGGUGUAGCGGGUGAAAAUGCGUAGGGAUGUGGAGGAACACCGAGUGGGCGAAGGCGACUCUUUG
This 214-nucleotide ribosomal RNA is filed under the name uncultured bacterium. RNAcentral's name for it is "partial 16S ribosomal RNA". It matches the Rfam family "Bacterial small subunit ribosomal RNA", at positions 524 to 731 of the family's 1533-position model. The record is from RNAcentral.